UUGUAAGGUCAUGGGUACCUAACUGUGCUGAAAAAGCAAUCUCAGAACACAUAAUUCUGUCCUGGCACUCAAUUCAGGCAGCUCCAGCUCUGGGCCACAACUCUCAUUUUCAGAGCUCUGUGAGGAAAUGCACAGAGGAUGGAGCAGAAGCCCUCUGUGAUCUCCUAAGUGGACUUUUUCUGUAAUACAGGUGAACAACUCACCUGAUAAUUUUUGCAUCAGUCCUGGAAGUGGUGGAGGAAAUGUGACAUGUCUUAGAAGGACCUUCAGCACAAAUCCUAGCUCUGUCAGAGGAAACUCCCUCCUCAGUCGGCAGGCUCUCUGACAGCUGGCUUCCACGGAUAUUUUUCACAAUGAACAGAUUUGAGAGCGCUCAGCAAGCAGGCACAGUUCACAGAAAACCACCAGCUCUCCUGACGAGUGGGUCCCCAAAGCAUCCCUGCUGCAGCUGGAAAACACUGUGCUUAGAUACCUCCAGGUUAUCCUCCGUGAUAGAGAGCACAAAGGAGAGCCAGGAACCGCCCACUACCAGCCAGGAGACUGCAAAAACAUGGAACCAGCUUAUCCUCCAAACUUUAUACAGAGUAAAGGAGACCACAGUAUCAUGCCCACGGCCUGAAGUUCAGCUAUAGGACAUUUAUAUCUCAGGAUUGUAAGGCUGAGACACAUAACUACAGCCUCUGUUGUGUUGAAGCUCUGCCGACAGCACUCCAUUUCUGCACCUGACAGAAUCCAGCAGCUCCUGUCAGGCACAAGCCUGCUGUUCAGAAACCUGCUGAGGACUAGGAGUGACCACCAGCUGCAUUAAUGGCUCUGGGAACAAAUGGUAGGGACCUACUGCCAUUUGCACACCCAUUGAAGCUUCUUGCAUAAGUUAAUGACAUAAGCUGAGCGAAAUUUGUCAUGACUUAAAUAGUCGAAGGACAAAGAAAAUAUUGUCAACACUAUUUAAUACAUAGAAAACGUCUCCAAUCAUGUAAGAAGAUACUACAUAUGAUAUCAGGUUAUGACAUUUUAUUAUUAGUUGACACUUAGUGAUAUUGUCUCAGGAAAGACAAAAACACCUCCAGGCUAUGUGAAAAGCAAUCAUGGAGCAGAAAGGCUGAUACCUUGUGUCAGAUUAACCAAAACCAUCCCACAGUUAAACACAAACAGAAACAAAACAAGCUUAACUAUCCACAUAGAAAUCAUGCAAAGCUUCCUCCUUUGCAGUAUGUGCCAUAUUCAUGGCAAAACAACCCUGCACUUUUCCCCAGAGAAUACUUUCACUGGUUCAGAACAAAGAAUCGGAGCACACCAGCUCUCACAGAUCCAAAAGAAAGGAAAAACCAGGUUUUAACUAGAAAACACUAAAAAUGUUGGGCUUAGCAUAACAAUACCAUUGUUCCUGUAUUAUUCUGUAAAUUUUCAUUUAAACAAGAUAAAUACUGCAGGAUAUUUCUCUGCAGUUUCUAAAUAAAAUAAUA
Pseudopipra pipra is the source of this 1466-nucleotide long non-coding RNA. RefSeq lists it as uncharacterized. Lineage: Eukaryota; Metazoa; Chordata; Aves; Passeriformes; Pipridae. The transcript is spliced from 3 exons. The record is from RefSeq and is a predicted model, not a curated record.